RNAcentral lists this unclassified non-coding RNA (395 nucleotides) under soil metagenome. RNAcentral's name for it is "partial contains 5.8S ribosomal RNA, internal transcribed spacer 2, and large subunit ribosomal RNA". The stretch from base 1 to 122 matches the Rfam family "5.8S ribosomal RNA", at positions 35 to 154 of the family's 154-position model. The record is from RNAcentral.
GAUGAAGAACGCAGCGAAAUGCGAUACUUGGUGUGAAUUGCAGAAUCCCGUGAACCAUCGAGUCUUUGAACGCAAGUUGCGCCCGAAGCCAUCAGGUUGAGGGCACGUCUGCCUGGGCGUCACAUAUCGUUGCCCAAUGCCUAUUGCAGUGCAAUAGGAAUUUCUAGGGCGAAUGAUGGCUUCCCGUGAGCGUUGUUGCCUCGCGGUUGGUUGAAAAUCGAGUCCUUGGUAGGGUGUGCCAUGGUAGAUGGUGGUCGAGUUAGAACGAUACCGAUCAUGUGCAUGCUCCCCAAAAUAUGGCCUCUAUGACCCACACGCGUCUUUUGACGCUCAUGACGAGACCUCAGGUCAGGCGGGGCUACCCGCUGAAUUUAAGCAUACCAAUAAGCGGAGGA